RNAcentral lists this ribosomal RNA (744 nucleotides) under Diaporthe inconspicua. RNAcentral describes it as "LSU rRNA". It matches the Rfam family "Eukaryotic large subunit ribosomal RNA", at positions 109 to 885 of the family's 3401-position model. Lineage: Eukaryota; Fungi; Ascomycota; Sordariomycetes; Diaporthales; Diaporthaceae. The record is from RNAcentral.
UCAAAUUUGAAAUCUGGCUUCGGCCCGAGUUGUAAUUUGCAGAGGAUGUUUCUGGCGCGGUGCCUUCCGAGUUCCCUGGAACGGGACGCCACAGAGGGUGAGAGCCCCGUAUGGUUGGACACCAAGCCUGUGUGAAACUCCUUCAACGAGUCGAGUAGUUUGGGAAUGCUGCUCUAAAUGGGAGGUAAAUCUCUUCUAAAGCUAAAUACCGGCCAGAGACCGAUAGCGCACAAGUAGAGUGAUCGAAAGAUGAAAAGCACCUUGAAAAGGGGGUUAAAUAGUACGUGAAAUUGUUGAAAGGGAAGCACUUAUGACCAGACUUGGGCCGGGCGGCUCAUCAGGGGUUCUCCCCUGUGCACUCCGCCCGGCACAGGCCAGCAUCGGUUCUCGUGGGGGGAUAAGACCGUCAGGAACGUAGCACCCUCCGGGGUGUGUUAUAGCCUGGCGGACGAUACCCCCGUGGGGACCGAGGUCCGCGCUCCGCAAGGAUGCUGGCGUAAUGGUCAUCAGUGACCCGUCUUGAAACACGGACCAAGGAGUCGUCCAUUAGAGCGAGCGUUUGGGUGUAAAACCCGCACGCGUAAUGAAAGUGAACGCAGGUGAGAGCUUCGGCGCAUCAUCGACCGAUCCUGAUGUUCUCGGAAGGAUUUGAGUAAGAGUUUUAACGGACGGACCCGAAAGACAGUGAACUAUGCUUGUAUAGGGUGAAGCCAGAGGAAACUCUGGUGGAGGCUCGCAGCGGUU